UACGGAGGGUGCAAGCGUUAUCCGGAUUUACUGGGUUUAAAGGGUGCGUAGGUGGGUUUGUAAGUCAGUGGUGAAAUCUCCGAGCUUAACUCGGAAACUGCCAUUGAUACUAUAGAUCUUGAAUUAUCUGGAGGUGAGCGGAAUAUGUCAUGUAGCGGUGAAAUGCUUAGAUAUGACAUAGAACACCAAUUGCGAAGGCAGCUCACUACGGAUUGAUUGACACUGAGGCACGAAAGCGUGGGGAUCAAACAGG
Molecule: ribosomal RNA, 253 nt
Filed under: uncultured bacterium
Lineage: Bacteria
Description: partial 16S ribosomal RNA
Rfam family: Bacterial small subunit ribosomal RNA
Source: RNAcentral